UAAAAUAAUUUUUCAUGAUUUUUCAUGAAUUAAAACUAUUUUUAAAUCAUUUAUUUAAUAUUAUAAUUAAAUAAAUAAAUACCUUUUAUAUUCCAAAAAUAUUAAAUAUUUAUGAAAUAUACUCAAAAUAAUUAAAAACUAUUUUUCAGACUUUAAAAUAAUUUUUCAUAAUUUAUUUGGUAUUUUUAAUAAUUAAAAACUAAUUUUUCUAAUUUUUAAAUUAAUUUUCGGAAAAUCAGAAAUUAAAAUAAUUAAAACUGUCGCUAAAGGCCCCUAUAGUGACAGAACCGUCGCUAUAGGUGUUCUUGAGCCUACCCAGAUCUUCAUAAGGCAGAACCGAGUGGGCUACUUUGACCGUGAAUAACUCUCUCAUCUUAACGAAUUUGGACAAUCUAUAAAUUGGGUCUUUUAGAGGAAAUACAAGACUACAAGAUCCAAC
Molecule: long non-coding RNA, 439 nt
Filed under: Panax ginseng (ginseng)
Lineage: Eukaryota; Viridiplantae; Streptophyta; Magnoliopsida; Apiales; Araliaceae
Description: long non-coding RNA (PGIN_LNC001300)
Source: RNAcentral